AUGAACGCUAGCGGCAGGCUUAACACAUGCAAGUCGAGGGGCAGCAUAUUUGGUAGUAAUACUAAGUGAUGGCGACCGGCGCACGGGUGCGUAACGCGUAUGCAACCUACCAUAUACAGGGGGAUAACCUUUCGAAAGGGAGCCUAAUACCCCAUAGUAUUGUUUUUUGGCAUCAAGAAGCAAUUAAAGAUUUAUUGGUAUAUGAUGGGCAUGCGUGCCAUUAGCUAGUUGGCGAGGUAACGGCUCACCAAGGCUACGAUGGCUAGGGGUUCUGAGAGGAAGAUCCCCCACACUGGUACUGAGACACGGACCAGACUCCUACGGGAGGCAGCAGUGAGGAAUAUUGGUCAAUGGGCGGAAGCCUGAACCAGCCAUGCCGCGUGCAGGAAGACGGCCCUACGGGUUGUAAACUGCUUUUAUGUGAGGAUAAACCUAGAUUUGCGAAUCUAGCUGAAGGUAUCACAUGAAUAAGGAUCGGCUAACUCCGUG
RNAcentral lists this ribosomal RNA (489 nucleotides) under uncultured bacterium. RNAcentral's name for it is "bacterial SSU rRNA". It matches the Rfam family "Bacterial small subunit ribosomal RNA", at positions 29 to 507 of the family's 1533-position model. The record is from RNAcentral.